Molecule: ribosomal RNA, 465 nt
Filed under: uncultured bacterium
Lineage: Bacteria
Description: partial 16S ribosomal RNA
Rfam family: Bacterial small subunit ribosomal RNA
Source: RNAcentral
GACGAACGCUGGCGGCGUGCUUAACACAUGCAAGUCGAACGGAAAGGCCCUGCUUGCAGGGUACUCGAGUUGCGAACGGGUGAGUAACACGUGGGUGAUCUGCCCUGCACUUCGGGAUAAGCCUGGGCAACUGGGUCUAAUACCGGAUAGGAGCCAUUUUUAGUGUGAUGGUUGGAAAGUUUUUUCGGUGUAGGAUGAGCUCGCGGCCUAUCAGCUUGUUGGUGCGGUUAUGGCCUACCAAGGCGGCGACGGGUAGCCGGCCUGAGAGGGUGGACGGCCACAUUGGCACUGAGAGACGGCCCAGACUCCGACGGGAGGCAGCAGUGGGGAAUAUUGCACAAUGGGCGCAAGCCGGAUGCAGCGACGCCGCGUGGGGGAUGACGGCCUUCGGGUUGUAAACUACUUUCGCAAGGGACGAAGCUUUUUGUGACGGUACCUAGAUAAGAAGCACCGGCUAACUACGUG